Molecule: non-coding RNA, 105 nt
Organism: Daucus carota subsp. sativus
Lineage: Eukaryota; Viridiplantae; Streptophyta; Magnoliopsida; Apiales; Apiaceae
Source: Rfam
UUGCUUCAGGGAAGAUUAUAAUCCCUCAAAUUUUUCAGCCUUUUCACUUUGUCAGCUCUUUUUCAUUUUUACACGAUUUGCUGAUCAUUUGUGGCUGGGAUAUAU